This 453-nucleotide ribosomal RNA is filed under the name Triticum aestivum (bread wheat). RNAcentral's name for it is "partial small subunit ribosomal RNA". Lineage: Eukaryota; Viridiplantae; Streptophyta; Magnoliopsida; Poales; Poaceae. The record is from RNAcentral.
CUGUCAAAAGAGGUGCUCGUCCAAGUAGCCUCGCUUGAAUCAUCACAUGCAAUUUGGACCGCGCUAGCAAAUAUGUUUUCUGUGGUCUCUCUGUCUCGUGUCAAUAACAUCAGAUCGGCCCUCACAAACGCCCAGAAGGGGUCACAGUCGGCCUCCACCUUCUUCGGGCAGAUGCGUGCCCUCUCCGACGAGCUUGCGGCGGCAGGCAAACCGAUCGGGGAGGACGAGCUUAUCUCUUUCAUCGUCGCCGGGCUUGAUAUGGAGUAUCAGCCCAUCAUCUCUGCACUCGACGUCCGCACCGAGCCCAUCACCGUCGAUGCACUCUUCUCGAUGGUGGCAAACUUUGAUCAACGUGCUGAGAUGUUCAGCAGCGCUGGUGGCUUCAAAUCGUCAGCGAACGCCGCCUCCAGGGGUCGAUCGAGUGGCGGCAGAGGCGGCUACCGCAACCAGAAG